UGAGUACGAGAUGCUACGGCAUCGAAGCAGUCUAUGUCAUACUUCCAAGAAAAGCUCGCACUGUCAUAAACAAAUAAUGCCUGUACCAUAACCGACACAGGUGGGUAGGUAGAGUAUACUAAGGGGCGCGAGAUAACUCUCUCUAAGGAACUCGGCAAAAUGACUCCGUAACUUCGGGAGAAGGAGUGCCUUAUUUAUAAGGUUGCAAUAACAAGAUCCAAGCAACUGUUUAUCAAAAACACAGGUCUCCGCUAAGUCGUAAGACGAUGUAUGGGGGCUGACGCCUGCCCAGUGCCAGAAGGUUAAAGAAGUUGGUUAGCAUUAGCGAAGCUGAUAACUGAAGCCCUGGUGAACGGCGGCCGUAACUAUAACGGUCCUAAGGUAGCGAAAUUCCUUGUCGGGUAAGUUCCGACCCGCACGAAAGGCGUAAUGAUUUGGAUAUUGUCUCGGAGAGGGGCUCGGUGAAAUAGACUUGUCUGUGAAGAUGCGGACUACCUGCACCUGGACAGAAAGACCCUAUGAAGCUUUACUGUAACUUGAAAUUGAAAUUGGACUUUAUUUGCGCAGCAUAGGUGGGAGGCGUUGAAAAUAUUCUCGCGGGAAUAUUAGAGCCAUCAGUGAGAUACCACUCUUGUAAUGUUAGAUUUCUAACUUUGUAUCAUUAUCUGGUCAAAGAACAGUUUCAGGCGGGCAGUUUGACUGGGGCGGUCGCCUCCUAAACGGUAACGGAGGCGCACAAAGGUUUCCUCUGAACGGGUAGAAAUCGUAUCUAGAGUGUAAAGGCAUAAGGAAGCUUGACUGUGAGACCUACAAGUCGAGCAGGGACGAAAGUCGGUCUAGUGAUCUGACGGUGCUGAGUGGAAAGGCCGUCACUCAACGGAUAAAAGUUACUCUAAGGAUAACAGGCUGAUCUCCCCCAAGAGUUCACAUCGACGGGGAGGUUUGGCACCUCGAUGUCGGCUCAUCGCAUCCUGGGGCGGUAGUACGUCCCAAGGGUUGGGCUGUUCGCCCAUGAAAGCGGUACGCGAGCUGGGUUCAGAACGUCGUGAGACAGUUCGGUCCAUAUCCGGUGUAGGCGUUAGAAUAUUGAGAGGAGCCUUCUUUAGUACGAGAGGACCGAGAAGGACAUACCUCUGGUGUACCAGUUAUCGUGCCAACGGUAAACGCUGGGUAGCUAUGUAUGGAGAGGAUAACCGCUGAAAGCAUCUAAGUGGGAAGCCCACCUCAAGAUAAGUAUUCUCAC
Molecule: ribosomal RNA, 1243 nt
Filed under: metagenome
Description: bacterial LSU rRNA
Rfam family: Bacterial large subunit ribosomal RNA
Source: RNAcentral